GCUCACUUCAGCUGUACAUAUAAUUGGCAUAAUACAGAGAAGAUUAGUAUGGCCCCUGCCCAAGGAUAACAUGCAAAUUCAUGAAGCAUUUUAUAUUUUU
Molecule: small nuclear RNA, 100 nt
Filed under: Physeter macrocephalus (sperm whale)
Lineage: Eukaryota; Metazoa; Chordata; Mammalia; Artiodactyla; Physeteridae
Source: RNAcentral